GGGGCCGUUAUGGAUUCGACAGGCGGUGUUUGAUCCGGGAUUGCGCUUCGAAGGUUACGUCUUCGUUAAAACGUUACAGUUAAAUAUAACUGCUAAAAAACAAAACUUUUCUUACGCUUUAGCUGCCUAAAAACAGUUAGCGUAGAUCCUUCCGGCAUCGCCCAUGUGCUCGGGUAAGGGUCUCAAAUUUAGUGGGAUACGUUUUAACUUUCCGUCUGCAAGUUAAAAAAGAGAUCAUCAGACUAGCAAAACAGAAUGCCUGUCACUCGGCAAGCUGGUGCGCGAAUCCUUAAAUGAGUUGACUAUGAGCGUAGAUAUCUCGGCGGCAAGCCGUUUGGACAGGGGUUCAAAUCCCCUCGGCUCCAUUU
RNAcentral lists this transfer-messenger RNA (368 nucleotides) under Enterococcaceae. Its description in RNAcentral is "Enterococcus_H canis Standard tmRNA". It matches the Rfam family "transfer-messenger RNA". Rfam says of the family: Bacterial tmRNA, also known as 10Sa RNA or SsrA, is named for its dual tRNA and mRNA-like properties. Its role is to liberate the mRNA from a stalled ribosome. The record is from RNAcentral. Lineage: Bacteria; Bacillati; Bacillota; Bacilli; Lactobacillales. RNAcentral also lists the same sequence under 1 other name.